Molecule: long non-coding RNA, 339 nt
Filed under: Delphinapterus leucas (beluga whale)
Lineage: Eukaryota; Metazoa; Chordata; Mammalia; Artiodactyla; Monodontidae
Description: lncRNA (ENSDLEG00000013052.1)
Source: RNAcentral
AAGUCUGUAGCUGAUACGUUCUCUCGAAAUUGUCCUCGGUUGAAGGGACCUGCCUUCUCCAAGGCCACAUGCCUUCCCCAGGGCAGACCAAACCAAUCACCUGAUGGUGCAGGAGUACAGAGGUUCAGCUUUUGUAUUGCAUGCAAAUACCUGCCUCAGAGUCUGCUUUCCAGACAACUGGACCUGAGAGGUCUGCCCAAGAAUCUCUCUAGAAGAAUUGGAGGAACCAAGACUGAGCCCUUGGAAUAUUUAGGUGGAAAAAGAAGUGGCUGUCACGGACAGAAAAAAACAUGGGCCAGAGGUAGUACCAUGAACUUGAUUAGUUCUUCAAAGGGUUAA